UUGAUGCCCCACUCUUCUCCACACUGCAGCACAUCAUGGACGUCGCCGACGACGCCGAGAAGUCAUUCAACGCCCCCACCCGGACCUACGUCCGCGACGCCAAGGCGAUGGCCGCGACGCCAGCCGACGUCAAGGAGUACCCUAACUCCUACGUGUUCGUGGUGGACAUGCCAGGGUUGAAGUCCGGGGACAUAAAGGUCCAGGUGGAGGACGACAAUGUACUUCUGAUCAGCGGCGAGAGGAAGCGGGAGGAGGAGAAGGAAGGGGUUAAGUACGUGAGGAUGGAGAGGAGGGUUGGCAAGUUCAUGAGGAAGUUUGUGCUGCCGGAGAAUGCGAAUGUAGAUGCGAUUUCUGCUGUUUGCCAGGAUGGGGUUCUGACUGUGACGGUUGAGAAGCUGCCGCCACCGGAGCCAAAGAAGCCGAAGACAAUCGAGGUC
RNAcentral lists this long non-coding RNA (437 nucleotides) under Malus domestica (apple). RNAcentral's name for it is "long non-coding RNA (MDOM_LNC014466)". The record is from RNAcentral. Lineage: Eukaryota; Viridiplantae; Streptophyta; Magnoliopsida; Rosales; Rosaceae.